UGCCAGCAGUCGCGGUUAUACCGAGAAAUUAAGUCAUAUUUAAACGGUAAAAAGACAGUUAGAUAUAAUUAUUUUGGGUUUGUUUGACUUUCUAUAAAAAGGUAAAAUUUGUAUAUAGUUAUGAAAUUUAAUUUUAAACCAAAAAGUUGAAUCUGUGAUAGCCUAGAGGGAAACUGGGAUUAGAUACCCCACUAUUCUUGGAUGUAAAUUAAGUUUAAUUUACCCGAGUACUACGAAUACACAAAAUUUAAAACUCAAAGGACUUGGCGGUAUUUCAGACCAUUUAGGGGAACCUGUCUCAUAAUCGAUAGUCCACGUUACACCUAACCUUUUUUUGCUUUCAGCUUGUAUAUCGUUGUCGUCAGGUAACUUUUUAGAAGCUAGAAGUUAGCUAAAAAUUAAGUAAGUUUAAACGUCAAAUCAAGGUGCAGUUAAUAAAAAGGUGAGGAUGGGUUACAAUUAUUUUAUUUAUAAUUACGGAAAAUCAUAAGAAUUGAUGAUUAUAAGGAGGACUUAAAAGUAAAUUAGAUUAUAUAAAUAACUUGAAUAAGGCUCUGAAAUGUGCACACAUCGCCCGCCACUCU
RNAcentral lists this ribosomal RNA (584 nucleotides) under Turris babylonia. RNAcentral describes it as "partial 12S ribosomal RNA". Lineage: Eukaryota; Metazoa; Mollusca; Gastropoda; Neogastropoda; Turridae. The record is from RNAcentral.